This 323-nucleotide ribosomal RNA is filed under the name uncultured bacterium. RNAcentral's name for it is "bacterial SSU rRNA". It matches the Rfam family "Bacterial small subunit ribosomal RNA", at positions 28 to 334 of the family's 1533-position model. The record is from RNAcentral.
GACGAACGCUGGCGGCGUGCCUAACACAUGCAAGUCGAACGGAACUUACCGAAUGAAGCUUUCGGGUGGAUUUUGAUAAGUUUAGUGGCGGACGGGUGAGUAACGCGUGAGUAACCUGCCUUCAAGAGGGGAAUAACGUUUGGAAACGAACGCUAAUACCGCAUAACGUGAGAAGAGGGCAUCCUCUUUUUACCAAAGAUUUAUCGCUGAGAGAUGGGCUCGCGGCCGAUUAGGUAGUUGGUGAGAUAACAGCCCACCAAGCCGACGAUCGGUAGCCGGACUGAGAGGUUGAUCGGCCACAUUGGGACUGAGACACGGCCCAG